AUGUGCCCUGAUUCCCCUUCACCUUCAAUUGUAUGUUUCCUGAGGAUUACACAGCCAUGCAGAACUACAGAGUCCCGCUCUGUCACCAGGCUGGAGUGCAGUGGUGUGAUCUCAGCUCAGUGCAACCUUGGCCUCCUGGGUGCAAGUGAUUCUCCUGCCUUAGCCACCCAAACAGCUGGGACUACAGGUUUUGAGACAAGCAGCAUAGGCUUCUGUUCUGCCGUCUUGCUCCACCCUGCCAAGAUAUUAUUUCAGAAGAGUCAAAGACUAAAAGGCGGGCCACGCGCGGUGGCUCAAGCCUAUAAUCCCAGCACUUUGGGAGGCCGAGGCGGGUGGAUCACGAGGUCAAGAGAUCGAGACCAUCCUGGUCAACAUGGUGAGACACCAUCUCUACUAAAAAUACAAAAAAUUAGCUGGGCACUUUACGAAAGAAGACAUAUAUGA
Molecule: long non-coding RNA, 444 nt
Filed under: Callithrix jacchus (white-tufted-ear marmoset)
Lineage: Eukaryota; Metazoa; Chordata; Mammalia; Primates; Cebidae
Description: lncRNA (ENSCJAG00000052601.2)
Source: RNAcentral